GAGUUGAGUGUACAGAUGGUUUCUGUAGUAGAUCUGCAAAAUCUAUAAUUUUAGGGUUCAAUUCCCUCUUAACUUU
This 76-nucleotide transfer RNA is filed under the name Russula foetens. RNAcentral's name for it is "tRNA-Cys". It matches the Rfam family "tRNA". Rfam says of the family: Transfer RNA (tRNA) molecules are approximately 80 nucleotides in length. Their secondary structure includes four short double-helical elements and three loops (D, anti-codon, and T loops). Further hydrogen bonds mediate the characteristic L-shaped molecular structure. tRNAs have two regions of fundamental functional importance: the anti-codon, which is responsible for specific mRNA codon recognition, and the 3' end, to which the tRNAs corresponding amino acid is attached (by aminoacyl-tRNA synthetases). tRNAs cope with the degeneracy of the genetic code in two manners: having more than one tRNA (with a specific anti-codon) for a particular amino acid; and 'wobble' base-pairing, i.e. permitting non-standard base-pairing at the 3rd anti-codon position. Lineage: Eukaryota; Fungi; Basidiomycota; Agaricomycetes; Russulales; Russulaceae. The record is from RNAcentral.